GUUAGCUCACCCAUCUACGCUGCACCCUCCCUUAGUACCACCUUUACAGACACACGCACACGCACGCACCACAGCCUUCACCAGUACUGUUGAAUUGCAAUCACCAUUAUAACAACAGGUCUACGAUGCUUCGCUAUCCCUCCCGCACGCUGCCCCACUUGUUGCCCGUGCGUAGCAGCAGUGGUGCGGUGAGGCAUCCAGUCCUCCUCACCCCUAGCCGCCGCUUCACGGAUAAAGUGCUGAUCGGCUCAUGCUCCUCGUUCUUCACAUGCUCGACGACGACCGGGCUCUUCCAUCUUCUGGUCACCCCUAUCAGCCCUUCCGUUGCCUUGGCAACGCUGGCGACCGCAGCAGCGAGCGGCGCCUUGUGCGUCGUCGACGGCGGCAGCUUGAACGGCACCACUUUUGGCGCCGUUGUCGGCAUUUUCGUUGGCGCCAUGGGGGGCUUCUACGCUAAGUCGCAGAAGGAGCCGUGGCGCAAGUAGUCAGUAGCCCCACAGACCCUCGUCAGUGGUGGCGUCGCCCUCCUCCUCCCCCCUGCGGCGCCGGGCACGCGUAUCUUUACAUGCUGAGGAAGAGGAAGAAGCACAAGAGAGGCGACUGUCGAGGAUGAGCGCUGCGGCGUGUGCGCGCCUCUCUUCAGCGAGACGCAUUGUGGGGUGGGCUCUGUGGCGAUGUGGGGCUUUUAGAAGUGGCCCGCUCGCACUGCACACAUCUAGCAGCUGCUCCCCCCCGCUCUCUCGCCUUUUCCUUCACAACUGUCGCUGUUUCUUCUUUGUCCUGUCCCCUCCACCUCCUCCGAUCCCAUAAGGGAGCGCUGAUCGACAUCACCAACACAAGACGAGGUUAGAGAAACAGAGCGGGCAUUGCCGCCUCGCACGUUGGCAAGGGUGGAGCUCGCAGAGCUGCGUGCGCGUCCUUGACUUCACGGGCGUGCACCGCACCGCCUUCAUUGACAGCCUCUGAUGUGCCUCUGCGCGUGUCUGUCGGCUCCACAUGACCAGCUGCGGUUAGGGGCGCCGGCAGUGUGCACGAAAGGGAGGCGAGCUGUGACACAAGCGC
This 1062-nucleotide unclassified non-coding RNA is filed under the name Leishmania donovani. RNAcentral's name for it is "gene:LdHU3.30.0320(CDS-product:hypothetical_prote in_conserved)". The record is from RNAcentral. Lineage: Eukaryota; Euglenozoa; Kinetoplastea; Trypanosomatida; Trypanosomatidae.